RNAcentral lists this unclassified non-coding RNA (1209 nucleotides) under Hevea brasiliensis (rubber tree). The record is from RNAcentral. Lineage: Eukaryota; Viridiplantae; Streptophyta; Magnoliopsida; Malpighiales; Euphorbiaceae.
GGUUUACUCAGAAAAGGAGCUAAUUAGGGAAAUUGAGAAGAUUGCUUUUACCCUUGUUCCUGAAAAGGAUUGGUCUAUACGCAUAGCUGCCAUGCAGCGAGUUGAAGGUCUUGUUUUAGGAGGUGCUGCUGAUUACUCAUGCUUUCGGGGACUUUUGAAGCAGCUUGUUGGCCCUCUAAGCACACAGUUAUCAGAUCGAAGGUCUAGUAUAGUGAAGCAGGUGAUUCUGGUUCUCUUUUGUUGCUAGAUAUUGAUUUGUACAUUUGUUCUAUUUGUAUAUUUGUUCUUUUGUGAGAUCAGCCCAUAAUUGCUAUACUUUGUCUAUGAGUUUCAGUCUUUAAGUUGUUGACUCUGCCCCUAACUUACAAAAAGACUAACAUUGCUUGUGAAAAUCAAUUUUAUUUGAUGUAGUGAUGGCAUUAGGCAUAAAACUUGAAGAGUAAGCAUCCAUAAAUUUACUAAUAGAGUAGCAAAAAUAAAAUUGCAAAUUGACUUUGCAUAUCCCUAAUAUGAUGAUUCUGGACCAUUCAAAUGGUUAAUUACUGGACCCAACCUACAGUAUUUCAUAAUGGAGCACAGUUGUCCUCAGAGUUGGCACAUAUGAUUUCAGGAGCUUCUCUUGUAGAUUCAAUUACAAUUUACUAUCUUAUCACCUUCUUUACUGUUUUUUUGAAUUUCUUAAAUACCAGCCAUUUAUGCUUGUGGCUCGUUUGAUUUUAACUUUUUAUUAGUACUGAUACAGUCAAGGCUACAUGCCUUUGAAUAAAUUUGAAAGUUAACUCUUUUUUGUUGAUGGCUUGAUCUCAAGUUUUGACAGUAGCUUAAGCAAGCUUUGGAUGAACGCUACAUGUGAAACUAACAUUUUUCAUUUGCUAGAACCAUAUGGGAGGGGACUAGAAAUGCAAGAGUGGCCCCAUUUUGUAGAACCUUUUUUGGUUUCAAUUUUCAUUCUGAAGUUUGUGAAAAUGCUAGGGUAUGCUAUUAAAAAGACAAGCAGGGACAGAAAAAAGUUGCUGUCAUCUUUUUUAGUUGUAGCUUGAAUUAUUUGGAUAGGUGCUUUUAAGGUUUUGGCUCCUGAAAGUGGUAAAUUUGUGUUGAACUCAAUGGUGCCUGUUUAUUUUUUCAAUUGCCUUAAGGUAUCUUAUGUCAUUUCUUGCUGUUUCUAAGUGGAAUUUUCAUUUUCCAAGGCUUGCCAUCUGUUAUGCUUUU